RNAcentral lists this microRNA precursor (84 nucleotides) under Bombyx mori (domestic silkworm). Its description in RNAcentral is "mir-2807 microRNA precursor family". It matches the Rfam family "mir-2807 microRNA precursor family". The record is from Rfam by way of RNAcentral. Lineage: Eukaryota; Metazoa; Arthropoda; Insecta; Lepidoptera; Bombycidae.
UUAGCUCAUAUUUGUAUGGAUUGGGAACGUUUGGCUAUGUCAGCCGCUAGGGGCGCUGUUCCAACUGCAUACAAAAUAGGGCUA